This 254-nucleotide ribosomal RNA is filed under the name uncultured bacterium. RNAcentral's name for it is "partial 16S ribosomal RNA". It matches the Rfam family "Bacterial small subunit ribosomal RNA", at positions 524 to 776 of the family's 1533-position model. The record is from RNAcentral.
UACGUAGGGUGCAAGCGUUAAUCGGAAUUACUGGGCGUAAAGCGUGCGCAGGCGGUUCGGAAAGAAAGAUGUGAAAUCCCAGGGCUUAACCUUGGAACUGCAUUUUUAACUUGCCGGGCUAGAGUAUGUCAGAGGGGGGUAGAAUUCCGACGUGUAGCAGUGAAAUGCGUAGAGAUGUGGAGGAAUACCGAUGGCGAAGGCAGCCCCCUGGGAUAAUACUGACGCUCAUGCACGAAGCGUGGGGAGCAAACAGG